GAGGCCCCAAUCUGCACAAUUAACCUCUUCAGCCCAAACCUUCACUAACCAUGGCGAAUUGCUUUUUUUACUCAACAGAGACGAUGACCGAUAAAGAAUUCAAUUAAUCACUCCAUUACGAGUUUAUUAAUCCUCUUUAUUUGCCUCUCCACACCCUCUUCAGCCGGCAAUUUACCUACCUCUUAUCAGUUAUCACCCUUCAAAAUUCCCCAAUUUCUGAUCGAAUUUGUUCGAUUCGUUACGUUUCAGUGGUGGGUUUUGAUUCUUUCGUUGAUCUGAUUGGUGACAAAUCUUGAUACUUACAGAUGAGGUUCUUGAAGCUCCCAUGAUCUAUGGGUGCAAUGGACAUCACCUGUGGAUCCACAACCAUUUCAUCGUGCUUGCAAGUUUUCGAUGUACUCAUAUACACGGUUUGAAACUUGAUUUUCUAGAAUCCCCAUGUAGCAAAUACUAACGUAUCUUAUAUAUCCUUCC
Molecule: long non-coding RNA, 474 nt
Filed under: Helianthus annuus (common sunflower)
Lineage: Eukaryota; Viridiplantae; Streptophyta; Magnoliopsida; Asterales; Asteraceae
Source: RNAcentral